GAGACGAAGCACGAGCAGUCUGAGCGGAGAAGCAGACGGAGGACAAGUUAAGGAGUCUAGCUCUGGGGAAAGAUUAGAUUGCCGCUGAACAGGGAAAAGACUUUGUUAUCGCAGGCGGGAAUACAGAUGUAAUAGACUUAAGACAGAAUGGAGAAUUCAUGAAAACCUACUGCACACAUUUUUUUUCUCCCCUGAAGAAGCUGUUUUAGAUAAGAAAGAAGAGAAUUAUAACUCGGGAUGGAAAUGAGAAUCCAACGUUAUCACAGCUGGGCCUAUUCUUUUAAACAGGUGACUAGAGUAAGACUUAAUUUUCUUCUUCUUUAUAAUGUCUUUAGGGGUUUCUUAACACUUUAGUCUUGCCAUGCUGUUCAUGUGCAUAUGCUCUGACACGUUAAAGCCUGGAAUCUAAAGCAUGUAGCUGCACCCACCCCCCCUUUAUCCAUGCGGCCUUGCUUUAAGCCCCUUAUGUAAAGUAAAAGCUUUCUGUAAGUCUGGUUUGUUGUAGCGUAGUGUAGCAUUUAUCUUUUGUUUUUAUUUUUUUUUAAUGCUGGCACUUAAGACAUGGACGUGAUGUUGAGAAUACAUGAAAGGCACCGGUGAGGUACAGCAGAGCCGUGAGUGAGGAAAUAAUUUGUUUUCUCCUGUUUGAAGCAAAGGAAAUGUUAAUCGCUCUGGAAGUUAGUGCGACAUAACCUCACUAAAACAAAUUAACUCGAGGAUUGUUGCUUACGUUCGCUGCCGUGUGAGUAAAGCGAAAUAAAGAAACAUCUGGGUUGUUGAAAAAGAGAAAACAUCUGGGAGAAAACGUCUUGUUGAUGACAGAGGUCAGCGGGCAAGAACAAGACUGCUUUGAGUUGACAGGAAGGCAACAGUAACAUCAAAUAACCACCCAUUACAACCAAGGUGUGCAGAAGGGCAUCUCUGAAUGUGCUGCACAAAAAUGCCAUUAUAUAAUAUAAAUGUAUUUCUGCUGCAGGGGUCCCACAGCUGCAAAGUUUUUCCUGCACAGCUGCACAAUUUAAGCCUCAUCCUGUGUCUCUUACUGUCACUGUGUGGUCAGGGGGACUGUUUUCUACGCCAUCUACAUGGCUGGUGGACUCCUGAUUGCAGCCACUGUUGACUUGGCUGUGAGGACAGCUCAUAACCCCGACAACCUGCUGCGCCUGUCACACACUCUCAUCAACCUCGUAGGCAACAGGUGUCAAAAAUAUGUUGUAAGAAAGUCCUUUAAGUCCAGUUCUAAUAAGAAUCUGCAUGCAUAGCUACUCUAGUAGAGUCCAAGAGAGCUUUAAACACCACUGAUCCCAUUUUUAGUUAAAUGUACUGCCAAAUCAAACAGACUUUUACUCUAUUCUAAUUAUGUGCUCCUUCAUAUCUUGCAGGUUAAGUCUUUGGUAAAACAAAAACUGAAACAUCUGCACCUCACUGAGAGGUUCGGGAAAAACUGUUCCUCAGUUUGUGCUGCUUACAUAUACAUAAAUGGGACAAAUGUACAUGUUUUUUAAUAGACUUCCACAUGUUUCCAGUCUCAGCAGUCUCCUUGACGUGACAAGACUGAGCGAAAUUGACUAUUUUAAGGUUUUACAGGGAGAUCUCGGUUCCCCUGACAAUCCAACAAACCUGGAGUCAAAGCCUGCCAACUGGAUCUAAAAAAAAAGGUGCAGGGUUUAUUACAUCUUCCUGUGUUGUUCGAAGCGCCAGCGAAUUCUGAAACUGCACAUUAGAGCCAACGACAUCAGGCUGAAAGCGUUCAGGCCUUCGAAUAAACUACAGUGGCUUGUUGAGUUUGGCAGAAAGGCACAUGCAAGGGGAGAUAUAGUAUUUAUUUUGCUGGAUGGACAAACAGGACAAAUCGGCCUUGGCUUUGAAAGAAACGAUGCUGCAAAUGAGCGCCGCCCGACAAGUUUUGCUCUGUGGGUAUCUGCUCUGUCCGUGGCUCUGCUUUGGAUGCUCCUGCCUCACAUUGCUCUUUGUGCAGUGAUGUGGUUCGGCUGGAGAGUACAACAACACAUCAGCUGAGUCAGCCGCUGUCACAGAGAUGCUAAUCUACCGUAACUCUUAACGAAUAGGCUCAAACUUCUUCGUGCAACCUCAAAUCGUUGCUUAUCCCUCCAACAUGACCGAAAACCAUCUUACAUUUGGUUUUACCUCCACACAGGUGGCUUCAGAGCUUAAAGUGCAUUUCUAAUAAUUACCAGCACACUGUCUCCUCUCUGCUUCAUAUCAAAUAAUAAUCACUGCUUAUUCUGCAGAUCCCAUUUAUCAUUUUAUUGUUCCCAACAACUCAAACACCUCUCUACUGGCUUAAAAAAAACCCAAUAUGUAUAUAUAUUAAACGUGUGCAAUGUAGACUGUACACAGAAGAUGGACAAUGGUUGAUGUCAUGACCACUGAAACUGCACACUCAUUGGCUACUGACUUGCCAAUCACAAAUCAUCAGCCAAUGAGCCUAUUCUAGAUAAUCCUCCUUUCUGACACUAAAUAACUCAAACACAACAGAAUUGACGUUUUAGUCAAAACCAGUGGCUGAUCUCAUAAACUCAACAGGAAAAUGUGGACAUGGGUACAGACAGGAAGCUCACAGACUUGUGGUUUUUCAUUUGACAUCAUGUGAACAUUGUUCAGCAGCUGUCUGCCAAAACCUCAAUAGGACUGGAAGCCCUUAUGCAGUCAGCGGCGUCAUGCCUUGGUGCCCAUUAAAGCCAGUUCAGAGUUAAGACACUCACUCAUUGGCUUUAUUUUCCAGUCCCAGGAGGUGCAUCCAUCUGUUUUAUGUAUAGUCGAUGGCAGACAUGUUUUUUAUUUACCUCCUUGCUGUCCUGCACUACAAUUUGUUGUCUUUUUAAAUAAAGUUAAAC
Haplochromis burtoni (Burton's mouthbrooder) is the source of this 2858-nucleotide long non-coding RNA. RefSeq lists it as uncharacterized. The transcript is spliced from 3 exons. The record is from RefSeq and is a predicted model, not a curated record. Lineage: Eukaryota; Metazoa; Chordata; Actinopteri; Cichliformes; Cichlidae.